Octodon degus (degu) is the source of this 1407-nucleotide non-coding RNA. The record is from the annotation of a RefSeq genome assembly. Lineage: Eukaryota; Metazoa; Chordata; Mammalia; Rodentia; Octodontidae.
AUGCAGCUGCUAGACGGCGCGAGUGUCCGCGACACCGAACGCCGGGCGCUGGCCAGAAGGGAGGGCAGCCGGGAGGUCCAGGCCUCCGAGCCCGGGUUUGCAGGCGGGGCUGCACCUCCGUGCUCCUACGAGCAGCAUUUCGGCCCCGGCACCAAGCUCACGGUCCUAGAAAACCUGAACAGGGUGAGCCCACCCAGAGUGGCUGUGUUUGAGCCAUCAGAAGCAGAGAUUGGCCAGAAAAAGAAGGCCACGCUCGUGUGCCUGGCCACGGGCUUCUACCCCGACCAUGUGGAGCUGAGCUGGUGGGUGAAUGAUAAGGAGACCCGCAGCGGGGUGAGCACGGACCCUCAGCCCUACAAGGAGUUUCCUGACAACGAAAACUCCAGCUACUGCCUCAGCAGCCGCCUGAGGGUCUCCGCCGCCUUCUGGCACAACCCCCGCAACCACUUCCGCUGCCAAGUCCAGUUCUAUGGGCUCACAAAAGACGACCCCUGGGACCAGACGGACCGGGCCAAACCUGUCACCCAGAACGUCAGUGCUGAAGUUUGGGGCCGAGCAGACUGUGGCUUCACUUCCGUGUCCUAUCAGCAAGGUGUCCUGUCUGCCACUCUCCUCUAUGAGAUCCUGCUGGGCAAGGCCUCCCUGUACGCCGUGCUUGUCAGUGCCCUUGUGCUGAUGGCCAUGGUCAAACAAAAGAAGUCUUGAGGCCAGCUCUCACAGCGUAUCCUGAAUGCUUCAUCCUGAACCUUCCCAUCCCUACUCGUCUGUGUUCCUAAAGAGCUUGUCUCUUUCUACCCCUCCCUACAUGGGUGUCUUUCCUUCCUGACUACUUCCCUGCAGACUGAAUACUGGCCCUGGAUCAGAAACAGAUUAAACCAAUAAACAUGGCAAACUUGUGUCUCAGUGGUGUCUUUGGGGUCCAGACUUGGCUGACACCCUGUCACCUGAGGAAGUCACUGUCCCUUCAGACAUAGGGAGUGCUGGAGCUCCUUCCUCUCUGACCUGCGCUGCUCCUUCCUGACUCCAAAAGCCAUGGUCCCUAGUAGGCAUGCCAGUGUGGAGCUAACCUGGAGGAUAAUGGCUGGGCUCUAGAAAAUCAGCAAGGCCGGGACACAGACGGGAUUAUAGUGAAGCAUAACAUGUUAAGCACAGCACAGAGCCCAGGCAGACCCAAGGGUUCCAACUCCUAAUGACUUGUGAAUUUAUUCAUGUGUCAUUUGUCACGCCUUUAGGUUUUUAUCAGCAUCUGUCCUUGACAUCUCCAACUUACGUUGUUUCAGGAUUUGAGUUUAAGAUUUAUGGUGUUUUUCAUGUCUGGGUUGGGAUCUUAGAAAAAAGCACAGCUGUUUUCUCUUAGUUCAAUGAGAAGAAAAAUUUAUACUAAUAGUGUUUAGACAAGAUACCAUG